CCUACGGGAGGCAGCAGUGGGGAAUAUUGCACAAUGGGCGAAAGCCUGAUGCAGCAACGCCGCGUGAGGGAUGACGGCCUUCGGGUUGAAACCUCUUUUAGUAGGGAAGCGGUACCUGCAGAAAAAGCACCGGCUAACUACGUGCCAGCAGCCGCGGUAAUACGUAGGGUGCAAGCGUUGUCCGGAAUUAUUGGGCGUAAAGAGCUCGUAGGCGGUUUGUCGCGUCUGCUGUGAAAUCCCGAGGCUCAACCUCGGGCUUGCAGUGGGUACGGGCAGACUAGAGUGCGGUAGGGGAGAUUGGAAUUCCUGGUGUAGCGGUGGAAUGCGCAGAUAUCAGGAGGAACACCGAUGGCGAAGGCAGAUCUCUGGGCCGUACUGACGCUGAGGAGCGAAAGCAUGGGGAGCGAACAGGAUUAGAUACCCUUGUAGUC
RNAcentral lists this ribosomal RNA (431 nucleotides) under uncultured bacterium. RNAcentral's name for it is "partial 16S ribosomal RNA". It matches the Rfam family "Bacterial small subunit ribosomal RNA", at positions 338 to 795 of the family's 1533-position model. The record is from RNAcentral.